CUGGCGGCGUGCUUAACACAUGCAAGUCGAACGGAAAGGCCCUUGCUUGCAAGGGUGCUCGAGUGGCGAACGGGUGAGUAACACGUAGGUGAUCUGCCUUUCACUUCGGGAUAAGCUUGGGAAACUGGGUCUAAUACCGGAUAUUCACGGCACCGUGGUUGGUGUGGUGGAAAGCUUUUGCGGUGGGAGAUGAGCUUGCGGCCUAUCAGCUUGUUGGUGGGGUAAUGGCCUACCAAGGCGGCGACGGGUAGCCGGCCUGAGAGGGUGUGCGGCCACAUUGGGACUGAGAUACGGCCCAGACUCCUACGGGAGGCAGCAGUGGGGAAUUUUGCACAAUGGGCGGAAGCCUGAUGCAGCGACGCCGUGUGGGGGAUGAAGGCCUUCGGGUUGUAAACUCCUUUCGUCAGGGACGAAGUUUGUUUGACGGUACCUGGAUAAGAAGCACCGGCUAACUACGUGCCAGCAGCCGCGGUAAUACGUAGGGUGCGAGCGUUGUCCGGAUUUACUGGGCGUAAAGGGCUCGUAGGUGGUGUGUUGCGUCGUCUGUGUAAUCCAGGGGCUUAACUUUUGGUUGGCAGGCGAUACGGGCAUUGCUUGAGUGCUGUAGGGGAGACUGGAAUUCCUGGUGUAGCGGUGAAAUGCGCAGAUAUCAGGAGGAACACCGAUGGCGAAGGCAGGUCUCUGGGCAGUUACUGACGCUGAGGAGCGAGAGCAUGGGUAGCGAACAGGAUUAGAUACCCUGGUA
This 745-nucleotide ribosomal RNA is filed under the name Corynebacterium pyruviciproducens. RNAcentral's name for it is "bacterial SSU rRNA". It matches the Rfam family "Bacterial small subunit ribosomal RNA", at positions 36 to 792 of the family's 1533-position model. The record is from RNAcentral. Lineage: Bacteria; Bacillati; Actinomycetota; Actinomycetes; Mycobacteriales; Corynebacteriaceae.